This 506-nucleotide ribosomal RNA is filed under the name uncultured bacterium. RNAcentral describes it as "partial 16S ribosomal RNA". It matches the Rfam family "Bacterial small subunit ribosomal RNA", at positions 30 to 523 of the family's 1533-position model. The record is from RNAcentral.
AUUGAACGCUGGCGGCAGGCCUAACACAUGCAAGUCGAGCGGCAGCGGGGGAAAGCUUGCUUUCCCGCCGGCGAGCGGCGGACGGGUGAGUAAUGUCUGGGAAACUGCCUGAUGGAGGGGGAUAACUACUGGAAACGGUAGCUAAUACCGCAUAACGUCUUCGUACCACAGUGGGGGACCUUCGGGCCUCAUGCCAUCAGAUGUGCCCAGAUGGGAUUAGCUGGUUGGUGGGGUAACGGCUCACAAAGGCGACGAUCCCUAGCUGGUCUGAGAGGAUGACCAGCCACACUGGAACUGAGACACGGUCCAGAAUCCUACGGGAGGCAGAAGUGGGGAAUAUUGCACAAUGGGCGCAAGCCUGAUGCAGCCAUGCCGCGUGUAUGAAGAAGGCCUUCGGGUUGUAAAGUACUUUCAGCGGGGAGGAAGGUGUUGUGGUUAAUAACCGCAGCAAUUGACGUUACCCGCAGAAGAAGCACCGGCUAACUCCGUGCCAGCAGCCGCCGUAA